AGAUAGUUGUAUGCCCUGUAUACGCUGGUUUAGUGUAAGGCAACAAACACUGUCGACGGAUGAUGACGUCAUAGAUGCAUGUACUGCGCAUGUGCGAGCCGGUAAACUAAGGAAAUAAAGCAUGGCGACUGCGACUGAGACUCGGGUGGAUUAUUAGUGUUAAUAUGAAAGAGAAACACUACAAUGGCGACGAGGAUGGGUGUAGCUUGUGCUGAACACCAAGACAAAGUUUCAAGACGGAAAUAAAGAUCCCGAAAGAAAGAUAAAAGUACUGGACUUUAAGGAGUGCAUCAGAAAGUCAUCAUUUCACCAGAAAAGAGGUGUACGUAGGUGAGUUUUGUAGUGUAUGCUAUCGUAAUAUAUUCAUCCUGAAUUCGUUUUUUAUAUGGUAUGAAAAUCGAGAAGGCGUAAAGAAACCAGUCGGUCAAAGCCAAGCUCAUGGGCACAACCUAUGCUCCUCAUCCCCAGGAAAUUUUCGGCGCCAUAAGAUGGCCAGCCCUACUUAUGGAAUCACAGGUGUUUGCUGAAAAUAACCAAAUAACCUCUUCACCUUGUUCAGAGAGAAGUCCACCGAAAUGUGUCAGGAUAGCUGAGGAGCUGGCCAGAUUGAUUAAGAUUUAUGAUCUCCAGUGGUUGGAACUGCCGAAAACCAACGAAUCGGUGCUCGCUGCUGAUGCACGCGCUCAGCCGCCAGAGGGUCCACCGCCCACCGAGGCGGCCGCUCUGCUUCCAGCGGACGAGAGGGUCUGCUGCUGCGACGGCAGUUUCCAGAUGGUCCAGACCUCUCAGACACUGUUGUGGCUCUCCUAUCAGCCGUCUUGGGUGAUACUCCUGAUGCUGCCAUCUUCUGCCCUGAGAGCAUCUUUAUCAUCGUGGAGAAUGAAACACUCGUCAGUUGUCCCACAAAUCUGGCUGACUCUCUUACUUUUUGGGUAUGUCUAUGCUCUGGACCUACAGUACCCCCAAAAAAUGGAGCUUGCAAUGACAUUUAUUCAGAAAGUGGUGAUGUGCCUUGAGGACAACAAACCACUGAAAGGGACCCAUGUGUAUAUAUAUAUAUAUAUAUAUAUAUAUAUAAUAUACAAUCUUGUGUUUUAUUUCAAACAAGCACUUUAUUUUGACUGAGCUCUUAAAAUGU
RNAcentral lists this long non-coding RNA (1138 nucleotides) under Oryzias javanicus (javanese ricefish). Its description in RNAcentral is "lncRNA (ENSOJAG00000003060.1)". Lineage: Eukaryota; Metazoa; Chordata; Actinopteri; Beloniformes; Adrianichthyidae. The record is from RNAcentral.